RNAcentral lists this ribosomal RNA (679 nucleotides) under uncultured Planctomycetota bacterium. Its description in RNAcentral is "bacterial SSU rRNA". It matches the Rfam family "Bacterial small subunit ribosomal RNA", at positions 128 to 811 of the family's 1533-position model. The record is from RNAcentral. Lineage: Bacteria; Pseudomonadati; Planctomycetota.
AGCUGCGGUCUUCGGACCUUCAGCGAAAGUGCAGGUAAUACCGGAUGACAUCGGGAGAUCGAAUGUUUUCCCGAUCAAAGAUUUCGGUCGGUUUUGGAGCGGCCUAUGUCGUAUCAGCUAGUUGGUGAGGUAACGGCUUACCAAGGCAUCGACGCGUAGCGGGACUGAGAGGUUGAUCCGCCACAUCGGGACUGAGACACUGCCCGGACCUCCACGGAGGGCUGCAGUAACGAAUAUUGCGCAAUGGACGAAAGUCUGACGCAGCGACGCCGUGUGUAGGAUGAAGCUCCUCGGAGUGUAAACUACUGUCAGGGACUAGAAAGGUAUGCUUGUCAUACUUGAUCAAUCCCAAAGGAAGCACCGGCUAACUUCGUGCCAGCAGCCGCGGUAAUACGAAGGGUGCAAGCGUUGUUCGGAAUCACUGGGCUUAAAGCGCACGUAGGCGGAAGAGAAAGUGUCUUGUGAAAUCCCCCGACUCAACCGGGGAACUGCUCGGCAAACUACUCUUCUUGAGACAAGUAGGGGUACAUGGAACUCUAGGUGGAGCGGUGAAAUGCGUAGAUAUCUAGAGGAACGCCAGCGGAGAAAUCGGUGUACUGGACUUGUACUGACGCUGAGGUGCGAAAGCGUGGGUAGCGAACGGGAUUAGAUACCCCGGUAGUCCACGCUGUAAACGAUG